This 207-nucleotide ribosomal RNA is filed under the name uncultured bacterium. RNAcentral describes it as "partial 16S ribosomal RNA". It matches the Rfam family "Bacterial small subunit ribosomal RNA", at positions 568 to 774 of the family's 1533-position model. The record is from RNAcentral.
CACGUAGGCGGCUUGGUAAGUCAGAUGUGGAAGCCCGGGGCUUAACCCCGGAAGUGCAUUUGAUACUGUCAGGCUUGAGUAUGGGAGAGGGAAGUGGAAUUCCUGGUGUAGAGGUGAAAUUCGUAGAUAUCAGGAGGAACACCGGUGGCGAAGGCGACUUCCUGGACCAAUACUGACGCUGAGGUGCGAAGGCGUGGGUAGCAAACA